AGAAUCUGGCCCAUCCUGUUCAAAGUGGGGGCGAACUUCAUAAAGAACAUCAAAAUAUUAUGCUGGCCUUGAAGGAAGAGAGAAAAGUCAUAAAGAACUCCCUGGGAGUCCCAGGUGCAGACUGAAUGAGACCCUGGCAGUGAGGAUCACGUAGACCCACUGAGGAUGUACAGUUUGCUUGUGCCUUCAAGAUGAGGUCUGAGAGAUACCAUAAGAGAUAAAUUGCAUGCCCCCACCUUUAGCGGGUUGUGAAUUAAAUGUAAUGGGUUGCAGCCAGAACUUGAAGAUUAACUAGGAUCAAAUAGAAUAAAAACAUCACAGUGCACUGUAUAUAGUAAAAG
Neofelis nebulosa (Clouded leopard) is the source of this 341-nucleotide long non-coding RNA. RefSeq lists it as uncharacterized. The record is from RefSeq and is a predicted model, not a curated record. The transcript has 2 exons. NCBI's taxonomy places the organism in Eukaryota, Metazoa, Chordata, Mammalia, Carnivora, Felidae.